This 433-nucleotide ribosomal RNA is filed under the name uncultured bacterium. Its description in RNAcentral is "partial 16S ribosomal RNA". It matches the Rfam family "Bacterial small subunit ribosomal RNA", at positions 29 to 507 of the family's 1533-position model. The record is from RNAcentral.
AACGAACGCUGGCGGCAUGCCUAAUACAUGCAAGUCGAACGAGAUCUUCGGAUCUAGUGGCGCACGGGUGCGUAACGCGUGGGAAUCUGCCCUUGGGUUCGGAAUAACUUCUGGAAACGGAAGCUAAUACCGGAUGAUGACGUAAGUCCAAAGAUUUAUCGCCCAAGGAUGAGCCCGCGUAGGAUUAGCUAGUUGGUGGGGUAAAGGCCCACCAAGGCGACGAUCCUUAGCUGGUCUGAGAGGAUGAUCAGCCACACUGGGACUGAGACACGGCCCAGACUCCUACGGGAGGCAGCAGUAGGGAAUAGUGGACAAUGGGGGAAGGUAUGAGCCAGCAAUGACGCGUGAGGGAUGAAGGAGUGAGGGGUGUAAAGCUCGUUGACACGGGAGGAUAAGGAGAGUAACGGGGGAAUAAGCGACGGAUAACUCCGUG